Molecule: long non-coding RNA, 3599 nt
Organism: Sparus aurata (gilthead seabream)
Lineage: Eukaryota; Metazoa; Chordata; Actinopteri; Spariformes; Sparidae
Source: Ensembl
AUGAAGCAGUCCUACAGCUGGAUCAGGCCUGUCCUGGUCUUCCUCCGGUCCUGGACUCGAGCCUGUCCUGGUCUCCCUCCGGUCCUGGACUCGAGCCUGUCCUGGUCUUCCUCUGGUCCUGGACUCGAGCCUGUCCUGGUCUCCCUCCGGUCCUGGACUCGAGCCUGUCCUGGUCUCCCUCUGGUCCUGGACUCGAGCCUGUCCUGGUCUUCCCUCCGGUCCUGGUCUCGGGCCUGUCCUGGUCUUCCUCUGGUCCUGGUCUUCCUCUGGUCCUGGUCUCGGGCCUGUCCUGGUCUUCCUUCGGUCCUGGACUCGAGCCUGUCCUGGUCUUCCUCUGGUCCUGGACUCGAGCCUGUCCUGGUCUUCCUCUGGUCCUGGACUCGAGCCUGUCCUGGUCUUCCCUCCGGUCCUGGACUCGAGCCUGUCCUGGUCUUCCUUCGGUCCUGGACUCGAGCCUGUCCUGGUCUUCCCUCCGGUCCUGGACUCGGGCCUGUCCUGGUCUUCCUCUGGUCCUGGACUCGGGCCUGUCCUGGUCUUCCUCUGGUCCUGGACUCGAGCCUGUCCUGGUCUUCCCUCCGGUCCUGGACUCGGGCCUGUCCUGGUCUUCCCUCCGGUCCUGGUCUCGGGCCUGUCCUGGUCUUCCUCUGGUCCUGGUCUUCCUCUGGUCCUGGUCUCGGGCCUGUCCUGGUCUUCCUCCGGUCCUGGACUCGAGCCUGUCCUGGUCUUCCCUCGGUCCUGGUCUCUGUCCUGCCGCUGGCCGUGUUGCCGCCUCCCUCUCCACCUUUUCAUCAUCAGCCUUUUUUCUAUUACUAAUUUCCUUUUAGCCAGAAGCUUCACAGUGCCUAGAACAUUUGAAAACGAGGAUGUUGCUCCAGAUUUCAUCACUUUAAUUAGUUCAGAUGAAAUAAAAAGAGCUGAAUAGGAGGAUUAUUUAGAGCUGCGAUGAGGACUGAAGCGGAUGGCGGUCUCGGUUCGCCUGCAGUGAAAAGCCUCAGGAGCGCUCACGUUAACUCAUCUCAGCGUUACAGAACCCGUCCACCUGCCUCACACUGAUGUCAGAUCAGAGGACUCUGCUCUGCUCUGAUCUGGUGCUGUCACAGAGGUUAUCAGGAGGUCUCAGAAGCUCUGCAGGCUCCAUGACUGCAGCUUUACAGGAGGUCCAUCAGUGAAGCUGCUGUGGAGCUUCAGGUGGUUUCAGAGGCUCUCCAGAAGGUUUCAGAACCACAGAUUCCUUUCAAAGCUCUCAACAGGGCUCCAAAGCUUCAAGAGGAAGUUUCUUAAGCAGGUUUUGAAGCAGGCUGCACACAGGUGUUCUUUAUUUGUGAUGGUCUCCAGGUGAUGCAGUGUGACUGAAGUCCUUACAGGAGUUCAACCCAACAGGCUCCUCUGGUUGAGUUCAGCUGCUACAAGUUAUCUUUACAACGCAGGAGGUCAACAGGUUCAUCCUGACAGCAGAAGUGGGCGCAGUGUGAUACAGACAGGUGUGACACAGACAGGUGUGAUACAGACAGGUGUGAUUAAAGCUGUAAUUAUCUGUACCUGCUCGUCAGCUCCGUCAAACCCAAACCUGUGAUCAGACACACAUCAGGGUGGAGCUCACCACCACCUCAUCCUAUAAACUCAACUCACACACACACACACACACACAGGCUGUUGUAAGAGUAGGAGGAGCCAAGUAUUACCCAGCAUGCUUUAGGAGGUGACUUGUGUGUGAACAUCGAAGUUUAAUAAGAACUGACCACCGGACUCAAAGAUGGCGUCCACUCACUUGAGCUCAGUUUCCUCAGCUGGUUGACGACUUCACACACUCUAAAUGUCGCUCAGUGCGAUUCUGUGAAACUCCACCUCCUGCUGUGACAGUCAGCUAAUAAUCAUAUGAUGUGAACAUGAUGUGACACGUUUGUCGACCUCGGACGUAUCUGCGGUCUGCAGAACACGUUACCUGCUCACAUUAUAUGCUGGAGAUUUAAAGGGAUAUUCCGGUGUAAGUUUAAUCCAUGGUCUAAAUCACCGUGAAACUGUGUUAGACUCUCUCUCUCCAGAGAUCAAGUUAGCAGACCGCUAAUUUACGGAGUUUUAUCAACCUCAGAAACGACCGCACGACAACAAUACACUGCAGUAAAUGGAUCCAAAUAUAAACCGCCACCAAAAAGCCACAAAUAAUGCUCAGAACAGCACCAAACUUCAGCAACAGUACAAAUAGGGUCUCAGCACAUAGUCCGGGGCAUCUAACCUCCGCUAGCUUAGCUGGAUUUCUAUUGUGAAGCUAAAAACAGAGUUCAACUCUCCUCCAUCAGCUUCCGGGUCGGGGAAGUCCCGACGCGACGAUUACCGAGUGCGGUUAGAAAUGCUCAAUUCCGUUCUUUUCCCUGUCCGCUCUCGAUAAUAACUGUUAUAAACUGGCAGGUAAGACACAUAUGAACUUUGAUUGCUUUUCCAUGGAGUCAUAAUCAUACAUUUUCAUCCAUGAGCCGCGGAACUCUACUGCACUCGGUAAUCGUCGCGUCGGGACUUCCCCGACCCGGAAGCUGAUGGAGGAGAGUUGAAAUCUGUUUUUAGCUUCACAAUAGAAAUCCAGCUAAGCUAGCGGAGGUUAGAUGCCCCGGACUAUGUGCUGAGACCCUAUUUGUACUGUUGCUGAAGUUUGGUGCUGUUCUGAGCAUUAUUUGUGGCUUUUUGGUGGCGGUUUAUAUUUGGAUCCAUUUACUGCAGUGUAUUGUUGUCGUGCGGUCGUUUCUGAGGUUGAUAAAACUCCGUAAAUUAGCGGUCUGCUAACUUGAUCUCUCGAGAGGGAGUCUAACACAGUUUCACAGUGAUUUAGACCAUGGAUUAAACUUACACCAGAAUAUCCCUUUAAUAAAAAGUUCUACACUGAUUAUUUUUCAUACUUAAAGUGAAGGGAUGCUGACCACCAGGUGUUGCAGUGAGCCAACAGGUACUGUAGUUGACCUGCCGCCUGAAUGUGAAGCAGCUCCUCCUCCUCGGCUCGAGCUCUGAGGGCAGUCAUCAUUUAUCCAACAGGCAGUGAAGCUCUCAGCAGACGGUUUGUCCUCGUAGUGAACGACACUAAAGUCACAGCAAACUAAUAAAAGGACGAGUUCAGAGAGUCAGACUGAGGUGACACAUCCAGUCCACUCACAGCUUAAAGAAGUCAAAUCAAACAUUUCUAACAAGUCUGACGGCAAGUUACUUAGAAACAAAUUAGAAGAGAAUUAAACAGCAGCAAAGUCAGUGAGACACAGCGGUCACAUGGAAGCUGUUCAAAUAUUAACAAGGUUAGUUUCUUCACAUCAUGACUACGUGGUCGUGUGAUUGGAGACUGAUUCUGCUUCCUGAUAAGGCUGCUGCACAGUUUGAGUCGCACCUGGAGACAUUCUAAGCUGUUUUUGUUGCAUCAAAAUGGAAACAUUUUAUUACAGGAAGUUGGAACCAUCUCCGUCUGUCAUCACGGCGACCAAAACAGCUGUUUUAAUCCAAACCGCGAUGUUUUCUGACCCUAACAAUGUUUUUUUGUGCCUGAACUUAACCACAACAUCAACACAGAGUGAGAAAUAGAAAACCUACUGAAACGUUCAGUUUGAGCUUCUCUGUGCAGAAAC